RNAcentral lists this non-coding RNA (26 nucleotides) under Cricetulus griseus (Chinese hamster). The record is from RNAcentral. Lineage: Eukaryota; Metazoa; Chordata; Mammalia; Rodentia; Cricetidae.
AAAUGCUAAGUAGAUGGAGUGAUGUG